AAAAUGAAAGCAGGUUGUUUUGGAGAGGGAAGAGCAGCUGUUUCGCUACUCAACAUCACUACAACUUCUGACAUAGUUGGUCUGUCCACAGCAUUUUCUGUAACACAUAAGAGCCCAAUUUGAGUGCAUCUCAGGGCUUCUUGGGGAGGAUAUGAUCCUUCUAGUGAUGAAUCAACCAUCUCCAACACUCUUUGUUCUUCCCAUAACUUCCACAUAUGUCCUAUCAAGCUCAAGCAAGAAUCCUCUUGGUAAAACCCAGUGCUCUUCUUGCCACUCACUAUCUCCAAUAAUAUGAUGCCAAAACUAAACACAUCAGAUUUUAUUGAA
This 327-nucleotide unclassified non-coding RNA is filed under the name Hevea brasiliensis (rubber tree). Lineage: Eukaryota; Viridiplantae; Streptophyta; Magnoliopsida; Malpighiales; Euphorbiaceae. The record is from RNAcentral.